AUUGAACGCUGGCGGCAUGCUUUACACAUGCAAGUCGAACGGCAGCACGGACUUCGGUCUGGUGGCGAGUGGCGAACGGGUGAGUAAUACAUCGGAACGUGCCCAGUUGUGGGGGAUAACUACUCGAAAGAGUAGCUAAUACCGCAUGAGAACUGAGGUUGAAAGCAGGGGAUCGUAAGACCUUGCGCAACUGGAGCGGCCGAUGGCAGAUUAGGUAGUUGGUGGGAUAAAAGCUUACCAAGCCGACGAUCUGUAGCUGGUCUGAGAGGACGACCAGCCACACUGGGACUGAGACACGGCCCAGACUCCUACGGGAGGCAGCAGUGGGGAAUUUUGGACAAUGGGCGAAAGCCUGAUCCAGCAAUACCGCGUGCAGGAUGAAGGCCUUCGGGUUGUAAACUGCUUUUGUACGGAACGAAAAGCUUCGGGUUAAUACCCUGGAGUCAUGACGGUACCGUAAGAAUAAGCACCGGCUAACUACGUGCCAGCAGCCGCAGUAA
RNAcentral lists this ribosomal RNA (500 nucleotides) under uncultured bacterium. RNAcentral describes it as "partial 16S ribosomal RNA". It matches the Rfam family "Bacterial small subunit ribosomal RNA", at positions 30 to 523 of the family's 1533-position model. The record is from RNAcentral.